ACGAAAUAACUGUGUUCUCGGGCCUAAGAGAUGGAUUACUGAAAUCUAGAUUCUGUACUUUGGGAACUUUCCUGAAUGAUUUGCUGGUUUCAAUUUGUCAAACUCAAUAAAAGUAAAGGAUUUACAUCUUUGGUUUACAGAAAUUCUGUUAAAAAUUGACAUUUUGGCAUUCUACGGCUAUAAUAAGGAUUUUAAAGAAGUUUACAUUUUAUGCCUAAGAGGCAUGCUGACUUUCUAUCUGACAGCUUUUUUGUUCCUGAUAUUUGUGUUUCUG
RNAcentral lists this long non-coding RNA (274 nucleotides) under Mytilus galloprovincialis (Mediterranean mussel). The record is from RNAcentral. Lineage: Eukaryota; Metazoa; Mollusca; Bivalvia; Mytilida; Mytilidae.